CUCUACAGUAGUGCUCUACCGCCUUCUUCAGCAGUCUCAUACUGUGUCACAGCAGGAAACCCAGUGCUGGGAAAUAAGUGCAGCACGUUGUGAAAUAUUAUUAGUUGUACCUCUUAUGUGGGACAUAUUUAGAAACCCUAUGCCUGUUCAUGUCACUGAAAUACCUUGUUGUAAUUUUUCCUAUGCUCAACAGUGCGGGAGUGAAGCUGUCCACCCAGUGUUAAGAUAGUGGAGGAGGAGCCAGUGACCAGGGUGCACUGGGUGAAGUGAACAACCUACAGUAAAAGUCAGUGCUGAAGAUGAUUGCAACAUGUCAGCCUCAUGAGGCAAGGCAUGGGGUCCCUUUUGACUGGCAAGCUGGAGAAAAGGCCCUCGGACAGCAGGAGCGUGAGAUCAGGUACUGUUUCUUUCAAGCAUAAUAUCCAUCUUUUCUCCAGGCAUUCCUCAGUUCCCCUGAGAUCAGUGUAUCACAUCCAACAAAAAUGAAGUCAGCACACACCAAGUUAA
RNAcentral lists this long non-coding RNA (507 nucleotides) under Betta splendens (Siamese fighting fish). RNAcentral's name for it is "lncRNA (ENSBSLG00000011920.1)". The record is from RNAcentral. Lineage: Eukaryota; Metazoa; Chordata; Actinopteri; Anabantiformes; Osphronemidae.